RNAcentral lists this ribosomal RNA (420 nucleotides) under Aquitalea sp. 18B(2010). Its description in RNAcentral is "bacterial SSU rRNA". It matches the Rfam family "Bacterial small subunit ribosomal RNA", at positions 272 to 684 of the family's 1533-position model. The record is from RNAcentral. Lineage: Bacteria; Pseudomonadati; Pseudomonadota; Betaproteobacteria; Neisseriales; Chromobacteriaceae.
GGCAUCGAUCAGUAGCGGGUCUGAGAGGAUGAUCCGCCACACUGGGACUGAGACACGGCCCAGACUCCUACGGGAGGCAGCAGUGGGGAAUUUUGGACAAUGGGCGCAAGCCUGAUCCAGCCAUGCCGCGUGUCUGAAGAAGGCCUUCGGGUUGUAAAGGACUUUUGUCAGGGAGGAAAUUCCUAGCGCUAAUAUCGCUGGGGGAUGACAGUACCUGAAGAAUAAGCACCGGCUAACUACGUGCCAGCAGCCGCGGUAAUACGUAGGGUGCAAGCGUUAAUCGGAAUUACUGGGCGUAAAGCGUGCGCAGGCGGUUGUGUAAGUCUGAUGUGAAAGCCCCGGGCUUAACCUGGGAACUGCAUUGGAGACUGCACAGCUAGAGUGCGUCAGAGGGGGGUAGAAUUCCGCGUGUAGCAGUGA